RNAcentral lists this ribosomal RNA (468 nucleotides) under uncultured bacterium. RNAcentral's name for it is "partial 16S ribosomal RNA". It matches the Rfam family "Bacterial small subunit ribosomal RNA", at positions 28 to 507 of the family's 1533-position model. The record is from RNAcentral.
GAUGAACGCUGGCGGCGUGCUUAACACAUGCAAGUCGAACGGAAAGGCCCAAGCUUGCUUGGGUACUCGAGUGGCGAACGGGUGAGUAACACGUGGGUGAUCUGCCCUGCACUUCGGGAUAAGCCUGGGAAACUGGGUCUAAUACCGGAUAGGACGAUGGUUUGGAUGCCAUUGUGGAAAGUUUUUUCGGUGUGGGAUGAGCUCGCGGCCUAUCAGCUUGUUGGUGGGGUAAUGGCCUACCAAGGCGUCGACGGGUAGCCGGCCUGAGAGGGUGUACGGCCACAUUGGGACUGAGAGACGGCCCAGACUCCUACGGGAGGGAGCAGUGGGGAAGAUUGCACAAUGGGCGCAAGCCUGAUGCAGCGACGCCGCGUGGGGGAUGACGGCCUUCGGGUUGUAAACACCUUUCGCUAGGGACGAAGCGUUUUUGUGACGGUACCUGGAGAAGAAGCACCGGCUAACUACGUG